This 482-nucleotide ribosomal RNA is filed under the name uncultured bacterium. Its description in RNAcentral is "bacterial SSU rRNA". It matches the Rfam family "Bacterial small subunit ribosomal RNA", at positions 903 to 1397 of the family's 1533-position model. The record is from RNAcentral.
AAAUGAAUUGACGGGGACCCGCACAAGCGGUGGAGCGUGUUCUUUAAUUCGAUGAUAAACGAAGAACCUUACCAGGGCUUGACAUCCCUAUAACCGAUUUCCGAAAGGAAAUUUUCAUUUAGUUGGAUAGGUGACAGGUGAUGCAUGGCCGUCGUCAGCUCGUGUCGUGAGAUGUUUGGUUAAGUCCAUCAACGAGCGCAACCCUUGUCGUCUGUUGUAUUUUUCAGGCGAAACUGCCCCUGUAAGGGGGAGGAAGGGGGGGAUGAUGUCAGGUCAGUAUUUCCCUUACGUCCUGGGCUAGAAACGCGCUACAAUGGCCGGUACAACGGGCAGCGAAGCAGCAAUGCGGAGCAAAUCCCACCAAAACCGGUCCCAGUUCGGAUAAGAGGCUGAAACUCGCCUCUUUGAAGUCGGAAUCGCUAGUAAUCGCAGAUCAGCACGCUGCGGUGAAUACGUUCCCGGGUCUUGCACACACCGCCCGU